Molecule: RNA transcript, 6166 nt
Organism: Ahaetulla prasina
Lineage: Eukaryota; Metazoa; Chordata; Lepidosauria; Squamata; Colubridae
Gene: TRMT5
Gene name: tRNA methyltransferase 5
Exons: 8
Source: RefSeq, a predicted model, not a curated record
AAGGCCGGGCCGCACCGCCCCCUUCCGCCCUUCGCCGCGGCGACGGGUGAUGAUGAGGCCGGGAAGGCCGGGCUGCUGUGGGGGAAAGGAGCGAAGGGAACGCGGCGCCAGGCCGGCAUGAGAUUUUUAAGGCAAUUAAAAAGCUUAUUCCCUUGUCUCCUGAAAGUGAAGUAUUUUGGAUCAGAAACAUUAUUUCCAACACUGUGGAUGCUUUGGAACCAAUCUUUUAAUCGAUUGCCUGAACAUCUUCCAAAAAAUCAGAGACAAAGUUUCUUCACCCUGCAGGAGAUGGCCGAAAAGAAACCUGACCUUGAUAGAUUCUUGCCGCAUCCCAGAGUACGUGGAAUGACCACCCUUGACAAAGCUGCUUUCAAAAAUGAUAUUAUCAUCCCAGCUCUUCUAGUUAACAAAGACAUAACAAGCAAUCUGCUGAAGUCUCUUAAAGGAGUACUACUCCAGCGACCAGGUCUCAAGAGAGUCGUUGAAGACCCUGACGAUGAAAACAGAAAGUACAUUUUGUUAGACCCACAUAAAAUAUCUGCUGAUGGUUCUCUGGGUGAAUCUGAGCAACAGAUCUUAAAAAGCUUUGGUAUUAACCCUGAAAUAAUCAAGUAUAACAUGGAACUUACUUAUGAUAAUUUCAAGACAGAAGAAAUUCUGAAAGCAGUGCUUCCUGAAGGCCAGGAAAUCACCACAGCCUUUAGCAGAAUUGGCCAUAUUGCUCACAUGAAUUUGAGAAGCCAUCAGCUGCCUUAUAAACAUUUAAUUGGGCACGUUAUUGUUGACAAAAAUCAAGGAAUAACCUGUGCUGUAAAUAAAAUCAAUAUUAUAGACAGCAUGUAUCGAAACUUUGAAAUGGAGCUACUAGCUGGAGAUGGGGCCAACAUGAUAACAAAGGUUAAGGAAAACUAUAUCUCAUAUGAAUUUGAUUUUUCCAAAGUCUAUUGGAAUCCUCGCCUCUCUACCGAACAUUUGCGGAUUGUCAACCUUUUAAAGCCAGGAGACCUUCUCUUCGAUGUCUUUGCAGGGGUGGGGCCUUUUGCAAUCCCUGCAGCAAAAAAAACCUGCAUUGUGUUUGCAAACGACCUCAACCCUGAAUCAUGCAAGUGGCUCCAGCACAACUGUAAAUUAAAUAAAGUGGACAAAAAAGUCAAAGUCUUCAACCUGGAUGGCAGGAAUUUCUUGAAAGGGCCAGUGAAAGAAGAACUGGACAAGCAUCUCUCUUCGAAGGAAUGGAAAAAUUCUGUACACAUCAUCAUGAAUUUGCCAGCCAUGGCAAUUGAGUUCCUGGAUGUCUUCAGGCAUCUCUUGAAUGGAGAGCCAGUCAGUAGUGAACUUCCUACAGUGCACUGCCACUGUUUUUCCAAACAUGAUAACCCUACGCAAGAUGUUCAAGAAAGAGUUGAAGCUUUACUGGGAACUUCCUUACAUGGUCUUUGUUCUGUUAAAUGGGUGAGAAAUGUGGCACCCAAUAAAGAAAUGAUGUGCAUUACCUUUCAACUUCCAGCUGAGGUGUUAUACAAGCCGCUGUCUCCUCUGACAGAUGAUCCAGAAGAACCUCCAUCUAAGCGACUAUGCCCAAAUGAAAAUUGUGCUGAAGAAAAUAAUCAAACCAACUAGGAGAUACGUGGAUCAUGACAGAAUAGAAUUUUAAUUCCAUUUUUCAAGAAUGACAGUUGUUGCAGUCUCCAAUGUGGUUCCGAUUUCAUUGCUCAGAACUCAAGAUACUGAUGGUGAGAACGUAACAAGCCGCCUGGUUUGGAAAACCAUAUCACAGAAAGAAGAUUGCUAUGACUUUUCAUCAGAGCAAAAUACUGUGUUGGACUACAGCUCCCUUGGUUAUGCUGGCUGACUAUUAUGGAACGAAUCAGAUUUGAGAAGACUGAUUUCAUAAAACACAUAUCAAUUCAUAUUAUAGUUUACACAAUAUCCUAAGCUGAAAGAUUUGUUUCUGGUUACAAGGCACUUUUUCCACAAAGUUUCAGUAAUUCAAACAGGAGGAGGAAAAGAAUAGAUAAGGUAGAAAUGGGUGAACAAUGCAUUCUUCGAUUGCAUUUAAAUUCUAUAUCAGAGUUCCACCACCACCCCGGGCUGCGGUCCAUUACUAGGCCUUGAGCCUUUCAGAACAGGGCCGUGGAAAUGGUGGACGAGCAUAUGUGCGAGUGCAUCCCCAGUCACACAAGCAGCGGGUGAGUGCAUGUGCAUGCUCCAUUUGCACAAACAGUGGGCGCAAGUGCCCACUGCUCACACAAAUGGAGCUGCGUAUGCAUGAAUUAGCCCAUCAUGCAUGUGCAGAACCCUCUCCACUCCUCCUUGGUGGUCCACAAAGCCGAAAAGAUUGUGGAACUCGGUUCUAGAUCAUCCUUUCCCAACGUGGGUGACAUCCAAGUGUGUCAACUUCAAUUCCCAGAAUUCUCAUCAAUGGCCAUUCUUGCUGUGAAAUUCUGGGAUUUAAAGUUCUCACUACUGGAAAUGACCAAGGCUGGAAAAUACUUGUUCUAGAUGUCUAUUAAAAUAUUAAUCUCCCAGCUUUAAGUGAAAAGAUAAAUUUUAAGGAUCAAUCUGAAGAGAGAAAUGGUGCUGCACACAUUUUCCAGGGGAAAUUUCUAGGCACAAGGAAAUACGAAAGAAAUGAGGCAAAGCCAUCUUUUAAAAAAGCUUUUGAAUGGAACAGCAUAGUGACUCUAGAGAAACGAAAGUUGCCAGCAUUACAGAAAAUAGACAACCUGGCAUUGAAACAUUUCAAAGAUUAUACUAAGGAGCUUGUAUUGGAUGUGGGAAGGAUGGAAAUCCAAAUAAGGAUUGAAAGAGGUCAACCUUAAGGCUAUCUACUGUUGACCCACCCCAUUCGUAAGAGGUCUGUAAGGCGUGUGCAUAAAUAAGAGCACCAGCAUCCCUACCGUCCCUAUUCUAAUGUUCCCUUUAAUUGUAUUCAUUUUAUGUAUUCCAUUCAUGCUUAUACUUAUAUACAUUAUCUAAUAAGUACUCAAUCAAUCAAUCAAUCAAUAAAUAUAAAUGCAACUCCUCUAGCCAUGUCACUGCAAAUGUAAACACACUGUUUAUUUAACACAGCAAGCUCUAGUCAAUCACUUUCUACUGUCAAGGAAAGUAUAAAUCAAGGACAGAUUAUUAAAAGUUGAUUCAAGCUUUGAGCAGGAAAGGCUAACAAAAAAUCCCAAAAAGGAAUGUUGCAAAGUUAAAUUUUCUUUAAAAGAACAACCUCAGAAGAAAUGGAUACAAACGUCAUGUUAUUCCCUUCAAAGGUAAGCAGUGCAAUGUAAAGUAUAAAAAAGGAGUAAGAAAUAGUAUACCAAAUAAAAUAAAGACAUAAAACUAAGAAAAAGAGAAAUAACUAAAUUCAGAUACUAUUCACUAUUAUGUCUCCAUUCUUUCUGUCUUGGUUUGCCCAUGUCCAUAUAUUGCUUUCUACAAUGCCUUUGUUUUUUUAACCUUUCCCCCCUAAAUCUCCCCCCUUUCACUCUUUCUUCAUACGUUUUACUAUUCAAUCCUUUUCCAAUUUUCCACAAUAACCAGGUCAAUGUACUUCUUUCAAAUCUCCUGUUCUUGUAUCCAUUGAUUCAUUCUCAAUUCUAUCCUUCCUUGUUUUACUACACCUCUUCUUAAAUACUCCAUUCCCACCAUAUUCAACUAAUUUUUUUAUUUCUUCUGAACUUCUAACUCUCACUUCCAAAUGCUAAACUAGGCCAAAACACAGCUUUUUUCAGUGAAAUUCAUGUUGCCCACUCCUUUCGUUCCAGCAUUUGUAUCUCUAUCUAUUUCCAAUUGAUUGAUUGAUUGAUUGAUUGAUUGAUUGAUUGACUGAUUGAUUGAUAUAGCCUUCCAUCUCAGAUACAUAUCUGAGUGGCUCAUAUAAUUAAAAAUAAAAACAAUUAUAAGUAAACAAAUAAAAACCACUCAAAACAAAUUAAAACAAUACAGAACCAUAAAACAUAAUUUGUGGCGGAAUAAUCCAUACAAUUGCUAAUAAUACAACCAUCUGACAGGCUCCAUUGGAUCUCCAGACAUGAUGACAAAACUAUGUCUUCAUGGCCUUCUGAAAAGCCAGCAAGGUUGAAGCCGGUUCAACAGGGGUUGGGCGGUACAAAAUGCUUUUCCAGAAGGUGGGUGCUACAGCAGAAGAGAUUUCUCCUCAUACAAAUCCACCUUGGCUUUUGAUACAUUUGCUUAGCUCAAAUAAUCUUAACUGCUAUUAUGCACACUCCUACUGCAAAACAUUCCAUAUUCACAUUAUUCACUAUGCUAUAAAUCAACACCUGUACAAUAAAAUUCCUUCUCACAUUCAUAUAUUUCUCAAUGACCUGCUAAAGAGCUUAGAGAGCCCUAGAGCACAAAGCCACACUAAUUCCAUUUUAAUCAUUGUCUCACAUCCUUUCAAUCAGAAUUUUGCACACACCUUCCCAAGCACACUUAACAAACCAAUCCCUAUCACUUUUUGCAUUUACUCUUCCUAUUUUUGCCUGUAUAUAUAAGGGUAUAUUAAUGUCAUCCAUCCCAUUCUCAGAGAUGGAUGGAACCUUCACAGGGCAUGAAGUAUUCCCUACUAAAAGUAAGGACCAUACCAGUCCAUUGUGGCAAAUUGCAGCAGUAUGCUAGAAGCGCAACUGAAGUUCAAUUUUAUCCCAAGAAUGUUUGUGCUCUUGUAUGCCAGCUAGAGGUGAGCAUUUAGAUUAGAAUUUUCAAAAUUAAUGGUAUGUUAUUUUGAAAGACAUAAUAUCUGUACUAUUUAUGAGUAUUCAUCAAAGUCAAUGUAUUUGUUGCACACUGAUUUUGAUAUUAUUUAUAAUUUCACAUUUGGAGCCUGAGUCCAUGGGAUACUGCACCUGUCAUUAUCUGGGUUAUGCAUCUUGAUCCCAGUGCAGAGCAAAUUAGUCAUGCCUAAUAAAAUAAGAGGGAUUUGAGUAGAAAAAACAUUAACUUACAUUAGGAUGUUUAAAACCCUCUGGUACAGAUGGUGAAGGAAUUCCUCUAUCAUUCGUACUCAGGCCUCCCAAUUGCAGUCCCCUUAUCCAAAGCCUGUUCAUUUGCCAAGAUUUUUACACCAUCUCCAUCACUUUCCAUCUUAAACACAGAGCUACACAGAGCUACACAGGGGUGGGUUCUACUUACCUUUACUACCGGUUCGCAUUCAUGCUCAUGCGUGCACUCUAACUCUGCUCGCAUGCACGCGCCCUCUUCUGCGCAUGUGCAGAUCGCUUUUGAUGACGUUUGGGUCAGUGGACAGAGCCUCCCGCCAGUUUUACUGCCGGUUCUAUAGAACCGGUCCGAACCGGGGGCAACCCACCACUGGAGCUACACUGUGCAAAGACUGAAAAAGUGGUUUCAGAUGAAGUCAAGGAACACUGCAAACAUUACAUUCAUCUAUUAUGUUUAUAAUAAGUACUUGUUCAUAAGUAUACUGGUUUUACUAGGACACAUUUCCAAAUAAUUUGGAAUGCAGUGACCGUUUUCAUAAAAUUAUUGGUUUGCUUGAAUGAAUUUAACUGCAGAAUUUGAAUGCCACUUAUUAAUAAAUUUGCGUAUUGCGCAAUUAAUAUAUUUGGAUUUUAUUGUGCAGGGUUUGUUAGCUUUAUAUUAAUGUUUCAUUUCCUUCCAAGCAUCCAGAGUUUUCAACAGGUGCACAUACAUCCUCUUGAGAAAGAGCUAGGUUAUGCUGGGUAAAAAUGCCAUUUAUUUUUGGUUUUUGUUUUUUGUUUUUUAAGAGUCACUGGCAGAUUAGAUUACUCCAGUGAUCUCAUCCCUCCACAUUCCACAUGCCAUUGCUUGUCUAAACAACAAGACUCUUUUAACUAGGUUUCCAUCACAACAGCAAAAGCAUUAUCCUCUUCCCAAAGUACAAGAAGGAAUUCAUUUCUCUUCAUAUUGAGAUUAGAAUCAAAAGUUACUGCUGUUUCCAGAAACCAAGAUCUGACUCGCUGGGGCUUUCUUUAACUCCAAAUUGCUUCCGCCCUUUGCGUUUCAAGGCAAGGCAUGGCUUAGCAUGAAGCAUUCUGUAAUGACUGAGGCACCUGGCCCCAUAUUUGUCAUUCUCUUGAGGUCAUCAGCCAGCUGUCUGUCCUCUCAACACUCAGCUUUGCCAAAACAGCCAGCGCAUUUUCUGCUGUGCUCAGGUUUCCAGGUCCGAAAUCCUCCAGAUAGAGCAAAUCAA